RNAcentral lists this transfer RNA (72 nucleotides) under Heribaudiella fluviatilis. RNAcentral describes it as "tRNA-Gln". It matches the Rfam family "tRNA". From Rfam's summary of the family: Transfer RNA (tRNA) molecules are approximately 80 nucleotides in length. Their secondary structure includes four short double-helical elements and three loops (D, anti-codon, and T loops). RNAcentral also lists the same sequence under 2 other names. The record is from RNAcentral. Lineage: Eukaryota; Phaeophyceae; Ectocarpales.
UGGGGUAUAGCCAAGUGGUAAGGCAGCGGACUUUGACUCCGCUAUCCGUAGGUUCGAAUCCUCCUACCCCAG